UGUAUUAUUUUUCUCUUAUAUCCCCUCAAAUUUCUCCUAUCCCCUACCCCAUAUCUAUUCUCCCUCUCUCUACUUCCCGAUAUCUUCUCCUCCGCCUGCCAGUGGCAUUGAUAUUUUACAUUGAAAUUCAAGUUUAGAUUUGUGCAAGUAUACUACAAUGGAGUAUGUAGACCAAAAUAGAUGCCGAGAACUGGCCAAGUCAUCAUCUUUUUAACGCAGGAUAUAUUCAGAGUAAUUGUAGUAUGUUCAUCUAGAAAAAUGUCAAGAGAGAUUAAUGGUGUUUGCCACCGUCACCAUUUCGACCGUGGCCGUUAUUCAUUGAUACCGCCGCCCUCAGCCUCCCAAUCUCAUUCUCUGACGCAACAUAUCGGAUCAACAAAAACCUCCGUUAUUUCGCCGGUAAUUACGUGCUAAUCGUCGGCAACCAGAGGCAACGGUGACGGCGAGCGAGGACUGGAUACUGAUGCCGCUUCAACGAGACGACAUUAGGGUUGUUCUUGAACAAAGACGACUGAGUUGGAGGCUGAGCAACUUGAAUUUUCAGUUAA
Long non-coding RNA from Nicotiana attenuata, 548 nucleotides. RefSeq lists it as uncharacterized. The transcript has 3 exons. The record is from RefSeq and is a predicted model, not a curated record. Lineage: Eukaryota; Viridiplantae; Streptophyta; Magnoliopsida; Solanales; Solanaceae.